UUUGUACUCUUUUCCUUUAAUCAGUAUUUGUCUAUUUGUUCUUCAAAAAAAAAAAACAAAGUUCCAAAACGUCGAAACACCAAUUCAUAUCACAAAAUUGCAAACCCUUUUAACACCAACUCUUAUCACAAAAUUGCAAACCCAUUAACACCAACUCUUAUCACAAAAUUGCAAAUCCAUUAACACCAACUCUUAUCACAAAAUUGCAAACCCAUUCAAACGGACACACCAACACUUUACGAUGUGAAUCGCAAUGAGUUUGUUCGAGUUCGUCGAUUGAGGUCGCUUACCAGUAGAUUUGAUAGUUAGCUCCGUUGAUUGCGUCUGCUUCUCUCCAAGUGUUGAAAAUGAAGAAAGGGAACACACAAGCAGUGAAGACCUUACUUAAGAAGAUAUUUCACUUGAGAAGAUUUUUGGAUUUUUGCUGAAGCUUUAGAUACAACAACAACAACAGCCCAGUGAAAUCCCACAUCUUGGGGUCUGGGUUGCUGAAGCUUUAGAUGUUCUAGGAAUAUUUUGCUAUUGAUAUUUUGAAACUCAUGUAAAGUCUUUAAAUGUAAAACUUUUAUGUAUUUGGGUUUUAACAUUUUGCUUUUAUGGAUAUUAUAACUAGCUUGUAGACA
This is a long non-coding RNA of Lycium barbarum (goji berry), 623 nucleotides long. RefSeq lists it as uncharacterized. NCBI's taxonomy places the organism in Eukaryota, Viridiplantae, Streptophyta, Magnoliopsida, Solanales, Solanaceae. The record is from RefSeq and is a predicted model, not a curated record. The transcript is spliced from 4 exons.